GCCGGGUGUGGUGGUGCAUGCCUGUCAUCCCAGCGGCUCAGGAGGCUGAGGCAGGAGGAUUGCGAGUUCAAGGCCAGCCUCAGCCAUAGCCAGGCACUAAGCCACUCGGUGAGACCCUGUCUCUC
Molecule: small RNA, 125 nt
Filed under: Marmota monax (woodchuck)
Lineage: Eukaryota; Metazoa; Chordata; Mammalia; Rodentia; Sciuridae
Source: RNAcentral